ACUCCUACGGGAGGCAGCAGUGGGGAAUAUUGGACAAUGGGCGAAAGCCUGAUCCAGCCAUGCCGCGUGUGUGAAGAAGGUCUUCGGAUUGUAAAGCACUUUAAGUUGGGAGGAAGGGCAGUAAGUUAAUACCUUGCUGUUUUGACGUUACCAACAGAAUAAGCACCGGCUAACUUCGUGCCAGCAGCCGCGGUAAUACGAAGGGGUGCAAGCGUUAAUCGGAAUUACUGGGCGUAAAGCGCGCGUAGGUGGUUCAGCAAGUUGGAUGUGAAAUCCCCGGGGCUCAACCUGGGGAACUGCAUCCAAAACUACUGAGCUAGAGUACGGUAGAGGGUGGUGGGAAUUUCCUGUGUAGCGGUGAAAUGCGUAGAUAUAGGAAGGAACACCAGUGGCGAAGGCGACCACCUGGACUGAUACUGACACUGAGGUGCGAAAGCGU
This 439-nucleotide ribosomal RNA is filed under the name uncultured bacterium. RNAcentral describes it as "bacterial SSU rRNA". It matches the Rfam family "Bacterial small subunit ribosomal RNA", at positions 335 to 762 of the family's 1533-position model. The record is from RNAcentral.